This 90-nucleotide small RNA is filed under the name Chryseobacterium nakagawai. Its description in RNAcentral is "Flavo-1 RNA". The record is from RNAcentral. Lineage: Bacteria; Pseudomonadati; Bacteroidota; Flavobacteriia; Flavobacteriales; Weeksellaceae.
AAUUAGCUCCGAUAGAAAUGGUUACCCUCAACAAGCAAUGCCAUUUUUAAGUGUCGACGUGAGGAGUAUGAGCGAAUUCCGGGAAAAAGC